GUGGGGAAUAUUGCGCAAUGGGCGAAAGCCUGACGCAGCAACGCCGCGUGAGUGAUGAAGGCCUUCGGGUCGUAAAGCUCUGUCGCAGGGAACGAAAACCACUAUUUGAAUAGGGUAGUGGUAUGACGGUACCUUGCAAGAAAGCCCCGGCAAACUCCGUGCCAGCAGCCGCGGUAAGACGGAGGGGGCAAGCGUUGUUCGGAAUUACUGGGCGUAAAGGGCGCGCAGGCGGUCAUGCAAGUCGGGGGUGAAAGCCCACGGCUUAACCGUGGAAUUGCCUUCGAAACUGCAUGACUUGAGUACGGAAGAGGAGAGCGGAAUUCCCAGUGUAGCGGUGAAAUGCGUAGAUAUUGGGAGGAACACCAGUGGCGAAGGCGGCUCUCUGGUCCGAUACUGACGCUGAGGCGCGAAAGCCAGGGGAGCAAACGGGAUUAGAUACCCCGGUAGUCC
Molecule: ribosomal RNA, 450 nt
Filed under: uncultured bacterium
Lineage: Bacteria
Description: bacterial SSU rRNA
Rfam family: Bacterial small subunit ribosomal RNA
Source: RNAcentral